UCAUAUAUAUGUAUGCAUGGCAUUUUAAAACAUACUUUCAUUUAAAUUCAAUUUCUGGGAAAAUCGAUAGUAUAUAGGUAAAUACAGAAAAUACUGCCCACUCACUGGUAAGUCGAAGGGUCGUAACCCCCGUGACGUCCCUGGAUGCGCUCGUCCUCGGGAUAGGUAUCACCUAUAUGCGAAACAACUAUAAAAACGUUAAUUAAAGCACAUAACCGACAAUUCGUAAUAACUUUUCAUAUGGUGCU
This 248-nucleotide long non-coding RNA is filed under the name Malus domestica (apple). Its description in RNAcentral is "long non-coding RNA (MDOM_LNC005967)". The record is from RNAcentral. Lineage: Eukaryota; Viridiplantae; Streptophyta; Magnoliopsida; Rosales; Rosaceae.